This is a non-coding RNA of Camellia sinensis, 651 nucleotides long. The record is from RefSeq and is a predicted model, not a curated record. Lineage: Eukaryota; Viridiplantae; Streptophyta; Magnoliopsida; Ericales; Theaceae.
AACUAUGGUGCCCAAAAGUAGCAUUUGGGUACCAUACAUGAAAAUGAUUUUCAACCUUUAGAUCAAAAUCUUAAAUCUUGACCAUCCAAAAUCACAUAGAUCCAACCGGUCGCAACCGGUCACAGGCCUAAAUCAAAGCACUGAAACAGGAGAGAGAGAGAGAGAGAGAGAGAGAGGACGAAGUGAACAGAGAGAAGACCGCAAAAGCACCGAACCAAGAGACAGAGAGCACCUCGUCGGACGGGAGUUCUCCACCGCACUCGGCGAGAGAGAAAACGAACGACGAAGAGAAGCGAUUCAGGCCUUAUUUCAGGUAAAUCUAAAGUUUCCGGAAAGGAUUUUCCAAAUUAGUGUCGCCGGCAGCAAAAGAUUUGCCUUCAUUCAUCAUUGUAGUUCUGACUUUGUUUCUCACUUGUAAUUUAAUUUUUUAUUUUCUUAAUUUGGUUGAUGAUGAAUAUAGGAGAAAAGGAAUGAAGAAAUCACCAUGUUAUAUUUUUUUUUCUUUAUUUUAUCUCUUUUAGUUGAUUGUCAUUGUAAUUUCUGGCUUUGUUUUCACCUGAAUUUGUUUCGUCUUUUCCUGUUGUAGUUGUUUUUGUUUAGAUUUUUGAAAAAAAGAAAAGAAAAAGAAAGAGUUAAAUCUCUUUUUUCCAA